UGGGGAAUUUUGGACAAUGGGCGAAAGCCUGAUCCAGCAAUGCCGCGUGUGUGAAGAAGGCCUUCGGGUUGUAAAGCACUUUUGUCCGGAAAGAAAUCCUUGGCUCUAAUACAGUCGGGGGAUGACGGUACCGGAAGAAUAAGCACCGGCUAACUACGUGCCAGCAGCCGCGGUAAUACGUAGGGUGCAAGCGUUAAUCGGAAUUACUGGGCGUAAAGCGUGCGCAGGCGGUUUGCUAAGACCGAUGUGAAAUCCCCGGGCUCAACCUGGGAACUGCAUUGGUGACUGGCAGGCUAGAGUAUGGCAGAGGGGGGUAGAAUUCCACGUGUAGCAGUGAAAUGCGUAGAGAUGUGGAGGAAUACCGAUGGCGAAGGCAGCCCCCUGGGCCAAAUACUGACGCUCAUGCACGAAAGCGUGGGGAGCAAACAGGAUUAGAUACCCUGGUAGUCCACGCCCUAAACGAUGUCAACUAGUUGUUGGGGAUUCAUUUCCUAGUAACGUAGCUAACGCGUGAAGUUGACCGCCUGGGGAGUAC
This 535-nucleotide ribosomal RNA is filed under the name uncultured bacterium. RNAcentral's name for it is "partial 16S ribosomal RNA". It matches the Rfam family "Bacterial small subunit ribosomal RNA", at positions 355 to 883 of the family's 1533-position model. The record is from RNAcentral.